RNAcentral lists this ribosomal RNA (2501 nucleotides) under Triticum aestivum (bread wheat). Its description in RNAcentral is "partial small subunit ribosomal RNA". The record is from RNAcentral. Lineage: Eukaryota; Viridiplantae; Streptophyta; Magnoliopsida; Poales; Poaceae.
AAGGAGGAGGGGUGAGGCAGGCGGCGGCCUGCGGACGGCGGAGGUGGCUCCGCUUCGAGGCAGGGCGGUGGCGGCGGCGGAGUGCGGCUCAUUCAUCGGUUCGAAUGUAGCCGUUCUACCACGUCAUAUUAAAGUUCUUCUAGUGACAACAGGGAGGACCCUUCCUGAAGUAGCUGUAUUAGAACAGGGCGUGAGUCUCCGUUUGUGGUUGACAACAGGUGUUCCCGAUACGAUAGUUGGCGUAAGCGGUCAAGAUAUACGCGUUCCAAGCGAUAUGGGUCGUCUUGAAGAUACUUUUCGACAGGUGGUAGUAGCUACUCAAGGGGUCUGACCUACUGUAGGUGGGAAAGAUACCGCUAGAGGAAGUACACGAGAUGUUGUUCCUAGUAAUGUUUGAGCGGAACCCAGUCUAGUUAUGUCGAUCUUUAUAGUAACGUUUCUAGAGGUUCCUGAUAGACUCCGACGAGUUCAUACCUCUGUGGGACAUGGCCACGUUCACGGACUUCCAUCGACGAGAGCCAGCGUACACAUGACAAGAUUUCGCAUAGUCAGGAUCAAACCGUAUGGACCUCGUCUAGUCCGUCGUGUACCGGUCCGAAGGUAGUUAACUGGGUUUGUGGGCAUGAUAGAACUAAACACCCAUAGGUUUACAACCCUUCUCGAGAAAGUACUUGUUCCAAUGUUCCCGACUACACCUGCAUGUCGGAAUACGAAAGUGUUGUUUUAGGGAAAAACAACCGGUACGUCUAAUGUUCAUAGACGCCAUGGUUCACUAACUGUGAGGACCCUAGGAACUAGCCGGAAAACUCCUGUCCUUGUAGUAUCUUUACACGUCAUAGUGGCGAGAGCGGGUGAACUCCCGACGACACGACAAGAAGAACCUGUAGAGACCAAGAACACCCAUGUGAUAACGAGUCGUUCGACGUGAGAAGGUGUCAUAUUUUAGGAACAAGUACUUAUUCGGAGACCAGUAACACACGUUGUUCUGACUAAACGUCGGCGAACUACCCGAAAGACUUCUACUGUACUUCGAUCAUUACCUCUACUUCAGUCUCCGAUACUUCUGAUAUGGAGUUCCACCUCUAGGAUCACUUCUCCCACAAAACAACUGAUACUCACGAAAUUGUCUACUCCCACACUACCGACAAUUUUUACGACGUACACUCUCCGAAGAACUCGUCUCCCACCUCUAGUUCUACUUUAGUUUCUUCUAGUUACUGACGAAUUUGUCCAAAGUACAACGAUACGGGUUCGGAGCACUGUUGUCUCUAUCCGGAUGAACGUAAGGAGUCCGACAAGAACUUCGAGUUCGCUAACGACGACGUUUCCUUUUCUUCUUUGAACUCUCCCUGGAACUCUUACUCUUACCUCCACGACCACAGAUAAGGCGGUCAGAGUUUUUCGUAAUGAACAACCGACUACUACUUACCUUCCUUCUAUAAGAGGGACUCUAUAACCUACCCGUAUUACAACGACUAAAGGACCUAGGCCUAUAGAACCUUUCCACACUCCUCGACCUUUCCCUCCUCCCAGAAGCAGAACUUCUUCUUCGACGAGUCCUACGAAAGUACUAACUACCGGUACUACUCAAUUGACUUCUUGUCGCACUCUAUAACCCAUUCUAAUCCUUCUUCUUCCGUUACGAGUAGGUUCUCGUAUCCUACUUUUUCUCAUGACGUCUCUCGGCAGGAUAACAAGGUUCCUUCGUACUGUUCCUAUCCUUUAAGUGUUGGUUCUCUGACCCGUCCGUUGAGUGUAGGUACCCACAACUAGGAUGACGGCGACACUUGGCUGAAGCGUCGGUCAGUUCUCCGGCAUUCGCACUCUCCAGUGACUCGUCUCGACUACCACUGCUGCGAUACCUGCAACUACCGGUCGUGAGGCUGUUCUUCGACGCAUGCUCCAGCUCCAGAUCCAGGUUUAGUGCUGGUUAACUUCUCCAACAUGGUCCACUGCCCUAGGCCCUGCAACGAGUUUUCUUCUUCCGGUAGUUCUUUAGCUCCCUGAGACAGUUCUUGUCCUUGUUCCUCCGAGCGGCACCUCUCCGCCUAGCGCAGUAGGGGUGGAACUUUGGCUUCGUAGAGAAGAGACCUUUUGCUCCUCAACCUUUCUGGGUCUCCGCUAUUUGGUCAGUUACACCUGUAACGACGAACGCUAGUGAGUAAGUCCUUGAUGUCCUAGUGACGGUAAAAGGCACGACCCGUAACGCCCUCCGAAGUCGUGGUUGGACCGUCCUCCUCUAUGAUAGAUGACGUAAAAAUGAACACAGACCGGAAACGAAAGACAAUGCUGCGAACCAGGAGGAAACAAUCUGAUAUAGCAACGACUUGAUGUACCAACAUGGAAGCCAAAUGAGACGUGAACACACCUCGCCUCAGUUUAAAACAAACUACCACAAUAAUUACAUAAACUUGCCCGGCGAACAAAAGGAAAAGCACUUUACAAAACUAUGACACUAUAACGUGGAGCCAGACCUUGGACACUCAAAGUCAUUAAAGUUG